GGGGCUGUGGCUCAGUGGUAGAGCGCUCGCCUAGCAUGCCUGAGGUACUGGGUUCGAUUCUCAGCACCA
Molecule: transfer RNA, 69 nt
Filed under: Ictidomys tridecemlineatus (thirteen-lined ground squirrel)
Lineage: Eukaryota; Metazoa; Chordata; Mammalia; Rodentia; Sciuridae
Description: Spermophilus tridecemlineatus (thirteen-lined ground squirrel) tRNA
Rfam family: tRNA
About the family: Transfer RNA (tRNA) molecules are approximately 80 nucleotides in length. Their secondary structure includes four short double-helical elements and three loops (D, anti-codon, and T loops).
Source: Rfam by way of RNAcentral